UGCCAGCCGCCGCGGUAAUACGGAGAGGGCAAGCGUUGUUCGGAAUCACUGGGCAUAAAGCGCACGUAGGCGGAUUGGAAAGUCAGUUGUGAAAGCCCGGGGCUCAACCCCGGAAUUGCUUCUGAAACUUCCAGUCUUGAGGGUGAGAGGGGAGAGUGGAACUUCUGGUGGAGCGGUGAAAUGCGUAGAGAUCAGAAGGAACACCGGUGGCGAAAGCGACUCUCUGGCUCAUUUCUGACGCUGAGGUGCGAAAGCUUGGGUAGCGAACGGGAUUAGAUA
RNAcentral lists this ribosomal RNA (279 nucleotides) under uncultured bacterium. Its description in RNAcentral is "partial 16S ribosomal RNA". It matches the Rfam family "Bacterial small subunit ribosomal RNA", at positions 506 to 784 of the family's 1533-position model. The record is from RNAcentral.